Long non-coding RNA from Vigna angularis (adzuki bean), 593 nucleotides. RefSeq lists it as uncharacterized. NCBI's taxonomy places the organism in Eukaryota, Viridiplantae, Streptophyta, Magnoliopsida, Fabales, Fabaceae. The transcript is spliced from 4 exons. The record is from RefSeq and is a predicted model, not a curated record.
UAAUAUAUCACCCUAUAUAAGCAAUUAUUUGGGACGACGAAUCAUUGUUGAGGCGAGGGUGAGGUCGCGUAGUUUCGUGUUUUGUUCCUUUUCAUUGUCGUUUUUGUGUCCAGACCUAACCCUAGCUCCGCAACGCAACCAUGUCGACCAAGCAAGGUGGAAAAGCUAAGCCUUUGAAGAAGCCCAAGUCUGACAAGAAGGAUUACGACGAGGUUGACAUGGCCAACCUUCAGAAGAAAAAGGAUGAGGAGAAGGCGCUAAAGGAGUUGAAAGCCAAGGCGCAACAGAAGGGAAGUUUUGGAGGUUCUGGGCUCAAGAAAAGUGGAAAGAAAUAAGGUCUUUUUAUAAUUAUUGCAUGAAUGUAAUAUUGAGCUCUGUAAUUACAGUUGCUACCAUAAGAACUUCUCUCUUAUUGUGGCCUACUUUAUUGCUAAUGUUAGUACCGUAUGAACUGACGUAUGUCUGAUGUAAGCUGCAACAAGUUACUUGUUGGUGGCUAACUUAAAUGUCUUCGUGGGGUUCUGAUUAUUACAUCCAUAUAUUAGUGUUGUGGGUUUGAGUUAUAUAAUAAUGGCAUGGCUUUCAACUUUUAA